GACGAACGCUGGCGGCGUGCUUAACACAUGCAAGUCGAACGAUGAAGCUGGAGCUUGCUCCGGUGGAUUAGUGGCGAACGGGUGAGUAACACGUGAGUAAUCUGCCCUCGACUCUGGGAUAACUGCGGGAAACUGUAGCUAAUACCGGAUACGACACCUUCGGGCAGCCGAUGGGUGUGGAAAGAAUUUCGGUCAAGGAGGAAGUCGCGGCCUAUCAGCUAGUUGGUGAGGUAAUGGCUCACCAAGGCGACGACGGGUAGCCGGCCUGAGAGGGUGACCGGCCACACUGGGACUGAGACACGGCCCAGACUCCUACGGGAGGCAGCAGUGGGGAAUAUUGCACAAUGGGCGAAAGCCUGAUGCAGCAACGCCGCGUGAGGGAUGAAGGCCUUCGGGUUGUAAACCUCUUUUAGUUGGGAAGAAGCGAAAGUGACGGUACCAACAGAAAAAGCACCGGCUAACUACGUGCCAGCCGCCGCAGUAA
RNAcentral lists this ribosomal RNA (484 nucleotides) under uncultured bacterium. RNAcentral describes it as "partial 16S ribosomal RNA". It matches the Rfam family "Bacterial small subunit ribosomal RNA", at positions 28 to 523 of the family's 1533-position model. The record is from RNAcentral.